UGCCCAGCAACUCCUAUCCCUACCUCCACGCAAUACCGGCCGGAAACUAUGAGCAACCUUAGGGAAGAUCGGGUAACCAACCCCGGUGGAAACUUUGGUCUUAGGCUGACAGGGAAGG
Aedes albopictus (Asian tiger mosquito) is the source of this 118-nucleotide non-coding RNA. Lineage: Eukaryota; Metazoa; Arthropoda; Insecta; Diptera; Culicidae. The record is from Rfam.